CUUGUCUGCAGCGUGAGCUAGGGUUGGCCACAUACAAGGCUAGGAGUGUCCAAUUUGAUUGGAAAAAGUAUGAGAGUUCACAUUAGAGAUUGAGGAUUCGAAUGGACACAAAAUAUCUGCCAAAACAUGAAUCAAGAAAACUAAACUGAUUCAACAACACUUGUCUGUACCGUGAGCUAGGGUUGGCCACACAAAAGGCUAGGAGUGUCCAAUUUGAUUGGAAAAACUAUGAGACUUCACAUUAGAGAUUGAGGAUUCAAAUGGAC
Molecule: long non-coding RNA, 266 nt
Filed under: Prunus persica (peach)
Lineage: Eukaryota; Viridiplantae; Streptophyta; Magnoliopsida; Rosales; Rosaceae
Description: long non-coding RNA (PPER_LNC008668)
Source: RNAcentral